GACUGGUCUCAUAGACUAGACGUAACAAACUAAACUUAUAUCCGGGAUACUCAAAUUAGUAUAUGUUACAUUUGGUAUGGUUACAUAAAAUGGAUCCAAUCCGAGUCGGCAAGGUGGAAAAAUCUGCCGUUCUGCCCUUGAGCAAAGCAGUUAGCUCACCCCACAACAACUGCUCCCCGGGCACAGAUGACAGAAACGUCAAUUAAAGCAGCUCCCCGCACCUCUCUGAUUCAGAGGAGUUGGGUUAAAUGCCGAAGACACAUUUUGGUUGAAUGCAUUCAGUUGUGCAACUGGCUAGGUAUCGUCUUUCCAAAAGGAGAGGGAAUCCUCUGCAUGCAAACUUGCAAUUUGACUGAGGAUGAGCACAACACUGUGCACUGUGCUGGAGGCAAGCGCCAAAUUGCCAGGAGUCAAACAAGAACAUGUUGCAUGUUGGGACGGUAUUCAUGAAAUGGACACAAUGAGCCGUGGGACCAACACUGCUCUCAAGUCAGAGGCAGACACUGAGGGAAUGAUCCAGACAAAACAGCAGUCAGGAGCUGAACACAGUGAAAGUGUCUUCCUAAGUCUGAACCUGAUUGUUUGAAUUCGGCCUCUCUGCCCCAGACGCCGAAGACUCCUCGUCUUCCUACGCCACAGACACCAGAAGACAGUCGACGCAGUUCUCAGACACCCCAGCGAGAGCAGCACCGCCGGCAGCAUAGCUCCAAUACAGAUUCACCCAAGACAGGCAAGGAACCGCUACACUGCAAACAAUGAGGCAAGACUUUAAGCCAAUACCCAGUGCUAGAGGCACAUGAAAGAGUGUUCUCAGGGGAGAAGACGUAUAUGUGUGAAGCGUGCGGCAGGGGUUUUCGCAAGUCGGAAAUCGCAACAUGCACCUAAAGUUUCACGCCGGCGAGAAGCCGUUCGUCUCCACGUUGUGUGGGAGGAAGUUCAUGACCUUGAGUCACAUGAACAUCCAUGGUGAAGGGAAGCCGGUCAAAUGCUGCAAGUGCAGGAAGUGGUUCCUGGAUAUAGACAGCUGCCAAAAGCACCAGGUGGCACGGCGCGGCACGGUGUGACCAACACCAACACUAACCUUCUCAGCUGUGAGGAAAGUUGUUCGCUCUAGCCUGUCAUCUGAACAGACGGAGACAGAAACAACGCCAGUCACAAUGAACAACAGAAUCAAUGGUUGUCUGUCUCUAUCUUUCUGUGUUUGUCUGUCUGUCCGGUCAUUAUGAAGAGAAGGCUGAUGAAUGUGAUAGACUUGGUGGCUCAGGGCCUGAGUCCUUGCCUUCCAUUCAUGGGUUCAAAUCCCAUUUCUUGUGCUUUAGUGGACAUUUCCACAAAUGUCACUGUCAAAAUGACAAAGAAAACUAUUAAAUGUGAAAGAGAUGGU
This is a long non-coding RNA of Oncorhynchus kisutch (coho salmon), 1384 nucleotides long. RefSeq lists it as uncharacterized. The record is from RefSeq and is a predicted model, not a curated record. Lineage: Eukaryota; Metazoa; Chordata; Actinopteri; Salmoniformes; Salmonidae. The transcript has 3 exons.